RNAcentral lists this ribosomal RNA (303 nucleotides) under Triticum aestivum (bread wheat). RNAcentral describes it as "partial small subunit ribosomal RNA". Lineage: Eukaryota; Viridiplantae; Streptophyta; Magnoliopsida; Poales; Poaceae. The record is from RNAcentral.
AGGAGGAAGAGGUUUGUAUGGUGGCCGCCGGUGAAGAGCGCGCACCGCCCGCGCAGCUGCAGCAACGGCGGCCACGUGAAGGUGAAGAUGGAAGGGGUGCCCAUUGGGAAGAAGGUGGACCUGUCCCGCCACGCCUCCUACCACCAGCUCCAAGACACGCUCCGCCUAAUGUUCCCCUCCUCCGCUCACCAAGGUGAUCCGUACCCCGUCAUCUACGAGGACGGCGACGGGGACUGGAUGCUCGUCGGAGACGUCCCGUGGGAGGAGUUUAGCAAGUCCGCCAAACGGCUCAACAUCCUCAUG